RNAcentral lists this ribosomal RNA (2175 nucleotides) under Escherichia coli. RNAcentral describes it as "partial 23S ribosomal RNA". It matches the Rfam family "Bacterial large subunit ribosomal RNA", at positions 165 to 2364 of the family's 2925-position model. The record is from RNAcentral. Lineage: Bacteria; Pseudomonadati; Pseudomonadota; Gammaproteobacteria; Enterobacterales; Enterobacteriaceae.
CAUAGGUUAAUGAGGCGAACCGGGGGAACUGAAACAUCUAAGUACCCCGAGGAAAAGAAAUCAACCGAGAUUCCCCCAGUAGCGGCGAGCGAACGGGGAGGAGCCCAGAGCCUGAAUCAGUGUGUGUGUUAGUGGAAGCGUCUGGAAAGGCGCGCGAUACAGGGUGACAGCCCCGUACACAAAAAUGCACAUGCUGUGAGCUCGAUGAGUAGGGCGGGACACGUGGUAUCCUGUCUGAAUAUGGGGGGACCAUCCUCCAAGGCUAAAUACUCCUGACUGACCGAUAGUGAACCAGUACCGUGAGGGAAAGGCGAAAAGAACCCCGGCGAGGGGAGUGAAAAAGAACCUGAAACCGUGUACGUACAAGCAGUGGGAGCCUCUUAAUGGGGUGACUGCGUACCUUUUGUAUAAUGGGUCAGCGACUUAUAUUCUGUAGCAAGGUUAACCGAAUAGGGGAGCCGAAGGGAAACCGAGUCUUAACUGGGCGUUAAGUUGCAGGGUAUAGACCCGAAACCCGGUGAUCUAGCCAUGGGCAGGUUGAAGGUUGGGUAACACUAACUGGAGGACCGAACCGACUAAUGUUGAAAAAUUAGCGGAUGACUUGUGGCUGGGGGUGAAAGGCCAAUCAAACCGGGAGAUAGCUGGUUCUCCCCGAAAGCUAUUUAGGUAGCGCCUCGUGAAUUCAUCUCCGGGGGUAGAGCACUGUUUCGGCAAGGGGGUCAUCCCGACUUACCAACCCGAUGCAAACUGCGAAUACCGGAGAAUGUUAUCACGGGAGACACACGGCGGGUGCUAACGUCCGUCGUGAAGAGGGAAACAACCCAGACCGCCAGCUAAGGUCCCAAAGUCAUGGUUAAGUGGGAAACGAUGUGGGAAGGCCCAGACAGCCAGGAUGUUGGCUUAGAAGCAGCCAUCAUUUAAAGAAAGCGUAAUAGCUCACUGGUCGAGUCGGCCUGCGCGGAAGAUGUAACGGGGCUAAACCAUGCACCGAAGCUGCGGCAGCGACACUAUGUGUUGUUGGGUAGGGGAGCGUUCUGUAAGCCUGUGAAGGUGGCCUGUGAGGGUUGCUGGAGGUAUCAGAAGUGCGAAUGCUGACAUAAGUAACGAUAAAGCGGGUGAAAAGCCCGCUCGCCGGAAGACCAAGGGUUCCUGUCCAACGUUAAUCGGGGCAGGGUGAGUCGACCCCUAAGGCGAGGCCGAAAGGCGUAGUCGAUGGGAAACAGGUUAAUAUUCCUGUACUUGGUGUUACUGCGAAGGGGGGACGGAGAAGGCUAUGUUGGCCGGGCGACGGUUGUCCCGGUUUAAGCGUGUAGGCUGGUUUUCCAGGCAAAUCCGGAAAACCAAGGCUGAGGCGUGAUGACGAGGCACUACGGUGCUGAAGUGACAAAUGCCCUGCUUCCAGGAAAAGCCUCUAAGCAUCAGGUAACAUCAAAUCGUACCCCAAACCGACACAGGUGGUCAGGUAGAGAAUACCAAGGCGCUUGAGAGAACUCGGGUGAAGGAACUAGGCAAAAUGGUGCCGUAACUUCGGGAGAAGGCACGCUGAUAUGUAGGUGAAGCGACUUGCUCGUGGAGCUGAAAUCAGUCGAAGAUACCAGCUGGCUGCAACUGUUUAUUAAAAACACAGCACUGUGCAAACACGAAAGUGGACGUAUACGGUGUGACGCCUGCCCGGUGCCGGAAGGUUAAUUGAUGGGGUUAGCGGUAACGCGAAGCUCUUGAUCGAAGCCCCGGUAAACGGCGGCCGUAACUAUAACGGUCCUAAGGUAGCGAAAUUCCUUGUCGGGUAAGUUCCGACCUGCACGAAUGGCGUAAUGAUGGCCAGGCUGUCUCCACCCGAGACUCAGUGAAAUUGAACUCGCUGUGAAGAUGCAGUGUACCCGCGGCAAGACGGAAAGACCCCGUGAACCUUUACUAUAGCUUGACACUGAACAUUGAGCCUUGAUGUGUAGGAUAGGUGGGAGGCUUUGAAGUGUGGACGCCAGUCUGCAUGGAGCCGACCUUGAAAUACCACCCUUUAAUGUUUGAUGUUCUAACGUUGGCCCCUAAUCGGGGUUGCGGACAGUGUCUGGUGGGUAGUUUGACUGGGGCGGUCUCCUCCUAAAGAGUAACGGAGGAGCACGAAGGUUGGCUAAUCCUGGUCGGACAUCAGGAGGUUAGUGCAAUGGCAUAAGC